Molecule: ribosomal RNA, 429 nt
Filed under: uncultured bacterium
Lineage: Bacteria
Description: bacterial SSU rRNA
Rfam family: Bacterial small subunit ribosomal RNA
Source: RNAcentral
UAGGGAAUUGUUCGCAAUGGGCGCAAGCCUGACGACGCAACGCCGCGUGGAGGAUGAAGAUCUUCGGGUCGUAAACUCCUUUCGAUUGGGACGAAUUUCUCGGGGGUGAAUAAUCUCCGAGCGUGACGGUACCGAGAGAAGAAGCCCCGGCUAACUCCGUGCCAGCAGCCGCGGUAAUAUGGGGGGGGCAAGCGUUGUUCGGAAUUACUGGGCGUAAAGGGCUCGUAGGCGGCCAACUAAGUCAUACGUGAAAUCCCUCGGCUUAACCGGGGAACUGCGUCUGAUACUGGAUGGCUCGAGAUUGGGAGAGGGAUGCGGAAUUCCAGGUGUAGCGGUGAAAUGCGUAGAUAUCUGGAGGAACACCGGUGGCGAAGGCGGCAUCCUGGACCAACACUGACGCUGAGGAGCGAAAGCCAGGGGAGCAAACGG